UACGGGGGGAGCAAGCGUUGUUCGGAUUUACUGGGCGUAAAGCGCGUGUAGGCGGCUUUGCAAGUCGGAUGUGAAAGCCCACGGCUCAACCGUGGAAGUGCAUCCGAAACUGCAUGGCUGGAGUCCCGGAGAGGAAGGUGGAAUGCUUGGUGUAGAGGUGAAAUUCGUAGAUAUCAAGCAGAACACCUGCGGCGAAGGCGGCCUUCUGGACGGUGACUGACGCUGAGACGCGAAAGCGUGGGGAGCAAACAGG
RNAcentral lists this ribosomal RNA (253 nucleotides) under uncultured bacterium. RNAcentral describes it as "partial 16S ribosomal RNA". It matches the Rfam family "Bacterial small subunit ribosomal RNA", at positions 524 to 776 of the family's 1533-position model. The record is from RNAcentral.